CAGCAGCCGCGGUAAUACGAAGGGUGCAAGCGUUACUCGGAAUUACUGGGCGUAAAGCGUGCGUAGGUGGUUCGUUAAGUCUGAUGUGAAAGCCCUGGGCUCAACCUGGGAAUUGCAUUGGAUACUGGCGGGCUAGAGUGCGGUAGAGGAUGGCGGAAUUCCCGGUGUAGCAGUGAAAUGCGUAGAGAUCGGGAGGAACAUCUGUGGCGAAGGCGGCCAUCUGGACCAGCACUGACACUGAGGCACGAAAGCGUGGGGAGCAAACAGGAUUAGAUACCCUGGUAGUCCACGCCCUAAACGAUGCGAACUGGAUGUUGGGAGCAAUCUGGCUCUCAGUAUCGAAGCUAACGCGUUAAGUUCGCCGCCUGGGGAGUACGGUCGCAAGACUGAAACUCAAAGGAAUUGACGG
RNAcentral lists this ribosomal RNA (409 nucleotides) under uncultured bacterium. RNAcentral describes it as "bacterial SSU rRNA". It matches the Rfam family "Bacterial small subunit ribosomal RNA", at positions 509 to 916 of the family's 1533-position model. The record is from RNAcentral.